Molecule: ribosomal RNA, 677 nt
Filed under: uncultured Lachnospiraceae bacterium
Lineage: Bacteria; Bacillati; Bacillota; Clostridia; Lachnospirales; Lachnospiraceae
Description: bacterial SSU rRNA
Rfam family: Bacterial small subunit ribosomal RNA
Source: RNAcentral
GAAACUUUUCAUUGAAGCUUCGGCAGAUUUGGUCUGUUUCUAGUGGCGGACGGGUGAGUAACGCGUGGGUAACCUGCCUUAUACAGGGGGAUAACAACCAGAAAUGGUUGCUAAUACCGCAUAAGCGCACAGGACCGCAUGGUCCGGUGUGAAAAACUCCGGUGGUAUAAGAUGGACCCGCGUUGGAUUAGCUAGUUGGCAGGGUAACGGCCUACCAAGGCGACGAUCCAUAGCCGGCCUGAGAGGGUGAACGGCCACAUUGGGACUGAGACACGGCCCAGACUCCUACGGGAGGCAGCAGUGGGGAAUAUUGCACAAUGGGGGAAACCCUGAUGCAGCGACGCCGCGUGAAGGAAGAAGUAUCUCGGUAUGUAAACUUCUAUCAGCAGGGAAGAUAGUGACGGUACCUGACUAAGAAGCCCCGGCUAACUACGUGCCAGCAGCCGCGGUAAUACGUAGGGGGCAAGCGUUAUCCGGAUUUACUGGGUGUAAAGGGAGCGUAGACGGACUGGCAAGUCUGAUGUGAAAGGCGGGGGCUCAACCCCUGGACUGCAUUGGAAACUGUUAGUCUUGAGUGCCGGAGAGGUAAGCGGAAUUCCUAGUGUAGCGGUGAAAUGCGUAGAUAUUAGGAGGAACACCAGUGGCGAAGGCGGCUUACUGGACGGUAACUGACGCUG